GGAACAAGAGGCUUCUCUGUGAUCCAGGAGUAAACUUUCUGUAAAAAAGAAACCCAUCUCGCGGUCCUUCCUUGAAUGAACUUGGCUUCAUCUCCAUCACCUUCCGGUUGGGGCUGAAUCUAACUUGAGGUUCUCUUCUCCUGGCCUUGCUGGCAAUGGCACUUGAGACGAUCCUGGGGGGAGAUAUCUUCCCCACCCAGGUUUUAAGAGCGUGUUUGCAAUUUGGCUGGCGGCGUCCCUUCCUUUUAACUAUCCUGCUUUGGGAGGGCUUUGCUAUAGAUUCGAAAUGGAGUGGGGUGUUAAGAAAUCCUCACCGUUCCUUUGAACAAGGAAAAGUCCUUGUGUAGGAUAGGAUGUCGCUCCCUCGAGCAAUAAAUAAAUCCCUACAUCGGAUUUCUUAUUGGGAACUUUGCUUAUCUUUUGGAAGUCAACUCCAGGCUUCUGUCAGCCAGGCUGAAGUUCCUUCUAACGCCACGUCUCAUCCGGAGACCCAUCUUUCCUCUCUCCUCUACAAAUUUAUUCUAUUUCGAUGCUCGUGCCCUGUGUUGACUGAGCACCUGCUUCAUAGUCCUCUUUUAAGCAGGUAAAGAUUUCCCACAGGGCGUGCCUCUGAAUUGUUCAGCCGGGUUGCAAUUUGGGUAGACUGUGCCAAACGUCAUAUAAAGACUCCCUUCAGUCGAUAAACUUCCGGUGAUCGCCAGAAAUUGUCCAUGUUCUUUUCUUGGCAACAAUAUACAACAGAGAGCUUUUUCUUCCUUUUCCCAUUGUCGCUUCCACCGCUGGGUAAAUUUCCUGGUGGCCUCCCAUCCAACUAUUAAUCAAGUCUGACCCCACUUAGCUUUUACAUCAGCCAAACCUUAGCUCGGUGCCGCCACCUGUUGCGGCUAUGAAUGUAAUAUGGGACACUCUGCAUCCUUCUUUUCAUGUUUAUUUUUAAAGAACAGAUGCACACUCUUCUUUUGAAUGCUGAACAGCAGCUUCACAGUUACGUGGUAGCAACGUUCAAAGUUUUAUGACGGAUCAGCCGUUUUGGAUGACUUCUAAACUCUUAAGAAAAAGUAGGGCCUGUCUAUCGGAAAUCCCAAAUCUGAAAGAAGCCAGCUGUCCUAUAAACCUUUUGGGGUGCCAGAGAGGAACUACUUCAUUCCCAGAUGACAUAAUAGUUGCAGAGUUUUUAGGACAGCCUGCAAACCGUUAAUGCUCCCUGGGUGUCAGACUUGGGGUUCACCAUCUUGACUUAAACAUGCUAAUUAAAUUUCAGCAAAGAACAAGGGCCUCAGCUGUGUCCUGGAGAGGCAUUUUCUCAUUUGAAAUGUGUUGCUUAAAUUAUUCUAGACUUUUUUACCUGUGCGUUAAAAUGAAGGCCCCCAUAGAUUGCCAAAAAGAUCCGCACAUAAUCAUCUUCUCUGUGCAGAAGGGGGCAUGAAAGAGUUGAAUUAAUUUAGCGAUUUGAAAUGGACCUCCUGUGCCCAUCUUCUGGACUUUUGCCCUCCCCUCGGGGUAUAGUUGAAGCCGCGGGUGUGGCCCUUGGCCUCAGAAGUGCUGUGCAACCGGUCUUGCACAUCAUUUCCUGUCCUUACUGAAAAACAUCCUUUCUGAUUAGGAUUGCGCAUUUCUCCUCUUGCGUAGCUUGGUCAUCACAAGAUCUCUUCUAGCAUCCUUUCUUUGGGCAGCAUCACAGUUAACUUGCUUAUUUAUUUUUUUACAGCAGUCACUGAAUUCAUGAAGAACCCACACCUUCAUCCGUUUUCCAUUCAAUAGUGUGUUGUUUUCAGUUUGUUCCCAGCUCCAGAACCUAGUUUGUUUGUGUUACACAUUUUCAGUUCCCUGAAUUCACAUUCAUUCCAAGACUUUGUGUGUUACCUCGGAAAAAAACAAGCCAGCUUCUUCUCAGUAGCCAUCAAAGCUACUUCCACCAUUCUUUUUAUGUUUGUGGCAUUCUUCCCUUCCUUGCGGUCUCCAAUUUUAUUUUCUUUCAGCCUCUUUAGAUUUCUCUGCAGCCUAAUUUUCUAGCAAAAACCUGUGGCUACUUCUGAUUUUUCUUCUUUUGUAUUGCGAUUCAUUUCAGGAUAAGUUGAAAACCUUCUAUUUGUAUUUAUUUAUUUAUUUUUUAUGCCACCUUUAUUAUUUUUAUAAAUAACUCAAGGCAGUGAACAUACCUAAUUCCUCCUCCUCUUUUCCCCACAACAACCAUCCUGUGAGGUGGGCUGGGCUGAGAGAGAAGGACUGGCCCAAGGUCACCCAGCCGGCUUUCAUGCCUAAGGCGGGACUAGAACUCUCCUACUGCGCCUGAUUGGCUCUUGGGCUGAGAGAGAGGGACUGGCCCACGGUCACCCAGCCGGCUUUCAUGCCUAAGGCGGGACUAGAACUCUCCUACUGCGCCUGAUUGGCUCUUGGGCUGAGAGAGGGGGGCUGGCCCAAGGUCACCCAGCCGGCUUUCAUGCCUAAGGCAGGACUAGAACUCUCCUACCGCGCCUGAUUGGCUCUUGGCUGAGAGAGGGGCUGGCCCAAGGGCACCCAGCCAGCUUUCAUGCCUAAGGUGGGACUAGAACUCUGUCGCCUGGUUUCUAGCCUGGUACCUUAACCACAUCUUAAAGUUGUCAAGGCUGAGAAACACUGCCCUACAAAGAGCAGAUUGACUUGUGGGCUUCAUUCCUGUCUGCAGUAGAUCUUCCAAAUCCAGCCCAAUUGGAUCUGAAGGUUUUCUGCCAAGACUGACCUUGUGCCAAACAAGGGGGAAACAUCUGGCUCCCAAGACUUACCACCAGCUCCAGAUGUGAAGCCUGACCACACUGAAUAUGCUGAGUGUUCCUGUUGGCUUGCCUUCUUCCAACUGGUUCCCUCCAGAUGGGUCAGACUCCCAUAAUCCCCAGCCAGGGCAGGCAGGUGAUCUUUUGCAACCUUUUAGGGGUUGGCACCAGAUGAUGCUGAUGAGCAGGACACCUUGUGGGUCUGGGUUUCAGAGGCUUGAAUUGCAUCCUAUGUGGCCCCCCGUUGCCUCUCCACCCCCCCUCCCCAAACUGGGAAACCGCCAGACUUUCUUUUCAGGACUGGCCACCCUAAAGGGCACAUCUACUGCUUCCAGGCUGUUGAUAAUUUGUUUUGCGAUACUGUCUCUUGAGAUGGGAUGCUCACCAGCUAUGCAGUGAUCUCUGUAAAAUAAUAAAGACGUUUUGAU
Long non-coding RNA from Candoia aspera, 3178 nucleotides. RefSeq lists it as uncharacterized. The record is from RefSeq and is a predicted model, not a curated record. NCBI's taxonomy places the organism in Eukaryota, Metazoa, Chordata, Lepidosauria, Squamata, Candoiidae. The transcript is spliced from 2 exons.